AACGAACGCUGGCGGCAGGCCUAACACAUGCAAGUCGAGCGCCCCGCAAGGGGAGCGGCGGACGGGUGAGUAACGCGUGGGAAUAUGCCCUUUGCUACGGAAUAGUCUCGGGAAACUGGGGGUAAUACCGUAUACGCCCUUUGGGGGAAAGAUUUAUCGGCGAAGGAUUAGCCCGCGUUGGAUUAGGUAGUUGGUGGGGUAAUGGCCCACCAAGCCGACGAUCCAUCGCUGGUUUGAGAGGAUGAUCAGCCACACUGGGGCUGAGACACGGCCCAGACUCCUCGGGAGGGGGGCAGGGGGGACUCUUCAACACGGGGGGAAACCUUAAUGUACCCCGGCCGCGUGAGUCAGUAAUGCCUGAGGGUUGAAAGGCUCUUUCACUGGGGAAGAAAUGGCCGUACCCACUAAAAAAGCCCCCGGUAACCUCCUG
This 430-nucleotide ribosomal RNA is filed under the name uncultured bacterium. RNAcentral's name for it is "partial 16S ribosomal RNA". It matches the Rfam family "Bacterial small subunit ribosomal RNA", at positions 29 to 507 of the family's 1533-position model. The record is from RNAcentral.